ACCUUGGUCCCCCAACCAGAAGACCCUGGGGGUCUUUGCACUGGCCUUUCCUGGGCUCCUCAGCCAAUUCACCUUGUGCUGAGAACAUCCACCCACCACAGAGGACCAGCAAUGAGGAAGAGACUGAGCAGCCUACACAGGCUCAGGGCCAG
This is a long non-coding RNA of Perognathus longimembris pacificus (Pacific pocket mouse), 152 nucleotides long. RefSeq lists it as uncharacterized. The record is from RefSeq and is a predicted model, not a curated record. The transcript has 3 exons. Lineage: Eukaryota; Metazoa; Chordata; Mammalia; Rodentia; Heteromyidae.